UCCUAAUUCAAAUUAAAACCCUAAUUCCAUUGCCUGCCUCCUCCUCCUCCUCCUCCUCCUUUUCUUGAGUGUCUUUUCUCUCAUGUCACUGGUAUUUGAGAUUUUUACGGAUUGUACUUAUAUAAAACUCCCAUUUUUUUCCCUUACUAUAAACGAAUAUGAAUAUUUAUCAGUGUUUGUUUGCUUGCAUUCUAUCUUUGUUUGAUACGCGCUGAAGAGGACUCCUCAAUGCAAUAGCUUUAGUAUCGUGUGGUGGUUACAUGGCUGGGUCAGCAUUUGAUGUUUGCCUUACUCAUCUGAAUGUCCUUUUUUUUUUUCUGGUAAAUGAUGGGAAAACUUGAUUUUGAGGUCGAAGUUGGCUUAUCAUGUAUCUGGGUUUUUCUUUAUUAGAAAUAUAAAGAAAUAGGCAGAUUGGAAACUGAUGAAUAAAGCAGGUACUUAUGAUAGCUUGUCAUAUCUAGAUGUUCUCCUGGUGCAGCAUAUAUUGAUGUUGUGCUGAGCUUCUAUGAUAUGUCUAUAUGACUAAACCAAUUAUCUGCCAACUGAUUCCUUCUCCAUAUAUGAUAUUUGAGUUUCAAGUUUACGAGACUAAUUGCUUGUGUUGUUUAAAUUAGAGCAAUUUUUUAAUCUGUUUGCUAAGGAAGGCUAUCUGUAGCAGAUUGCUGGCUUCCUAUCUGUAAAAUGUCAGGUUUUUAAGCAGUAGCUAUUUACUGGAAGUGUUAAAACCUUCAACUUGCAUGCCGUCCAAGUCUGUUGGAUUGUGUUCUUGUUGUUCUAGAAAAGUUACAAAAGAAUUUGAUAUAGUUGGUAUCAUAUGGUUGGAUGUCAGUGAUUAAAAAGAAUCGAUGCUAUCCUUGAGAACCUAGGGUUGUGCAUAGGAAAGGGGAUAAUUGGGAACUGCCUUGAGCUUUGAAACGGGGAGCAUGUGAGGUUGUUGGAGUUACAAGUAUUAAUCACUGCAAACUAGAUUCUAAUAUGAGAUCGCAUAAGCUUGAUUUGCUAAAUUUAUCAGGUUCAUUGAUUAAGAAUAGCAGAUUACGACCAGAAAAAAGAAAAGAAAAAAGAACGGAAAUUAAGAACAGCUUAUUAACAGGAAAGUAUAUCAAAGUAUUUAUGAUUACUGUUAAUUCACUUUCAUCUACAGUUUAUUUAACCGAGUGAGGUAUCAUCCACUGCUCUUGAUCCCUUCAAUUUUUGGUUUGGAGAGAUGGCUAGAUACCUGAUACCUUAACAAGUGGAUGAGGAUUUACUAGUACAUUCACCAUGUCUGUUAAACUGUUUGGCAGUGUGCUUGAGCUUAUUGUGAAUAGUUCUUUUGUAGAAUGUUUCUUUCUGCUUUCAGGUUUUAAAUACACUUUUUACAGUUGCGUACAAGGAACUGGUGGGUACUUUAGCCACCAAAUAAUUUUAAUGUUGAUGGAGAGGUGCAAGCAGAAAUUUCCGCCGCUGAUCACAUUCUUGCCUGAUCAUUUCGCAAUCUCAAAGUAUGAGGGACGAGUUUCUUGAGGUUUGCUGAUUCUCUCAUUCAGCUGAAUCUCAAGAAAGCCUUUCCUGUUCCAUGUGAUAAAGGCAUCCUUUUAUUUGUUGCAUUCACUCUCCAACGAGUCCAAGGAAUUUCUUUCUUUCCUUUGUUUUUUUCUUUCUCUUUAUACCUAAUACAUGUGUGUGGCCAAUCUUAUUAUAUCUAGUUUUCUGCUUCAUUUCAUUUUAAAAGAAUCUGAAGAUAUCAUCAAGGCAUAUCAAAGGUGAAUGUGCAGUUCGUCUCUCCAUCAGUAGUUUGACAUGAGAAUUUUGCCUCCUAUUGUCUAAAUUAUCUUCAUGUCCUUUCUACUAUUUCUGGUCCUUUGUGCUGUCUGUACUGCUAUUAUGCGUGUGGCGGAUUGGAAUAGGGACCUGCUAGUGAAGGCAAGGAAAAAUGGUGUUGGCUUCUGCAGUUAUGGUUUUGUGAAGGAUGCAUAAAGGGAUUGCAGUCAUUUUUGGCGAGCAUGUUCCUCACAAGUUGACAUUUUCUCUAAGCUUUUGAAUGUCAUGCCCGGAACCCUGUGCUGUUCAAUUUUGUUUUUCAAACUAUGUAUCAGUUUAAAUUGUAUAGCCUUUCAUUGUUGAUGCCUGGAGUAUAUUGUUGGUAAUAAUGUGGAAAAAAUUGAGAUACGUUUUCCUUCUCCUAUUUGAAGCUGACAAAUAUUAGAUGAGACACUCAUUAUCUUCUCAUUUGUAUCAGUUACAUUUGGAGGGCAUUGAUGUGCUCUAAACCUGAAAGCAAAUCGGUGAA
Populus euphratica (Euphrates poplar) is the source of this 2272-nucleotide long non-coding RNA. RefSeq lists it as uncharacterized. The record is from RefSeq and is a predicted model, not a curated record. NCBI's taxonomy places the organism in Eukaryota, Viridiplantae, Streptophyta, Magnoliopsida, Malpighiales, Salicaceae. The transcript has 2 exons.